AGUAACAGGACCAGUACGAUGAGGAGCAGCAAACAAAGAUUCAAUCCUACAGAAACACCAAUGACCAGAAGAAGAGAAGAAGAUGAUGAUGAUGAUGAUGAUGAUGAUAACGAAGCUGAAGAGAGAAGAUGGCAGACCUGUUCAUAAAGCACAUGCUGUAUGAUAAUAUUACAGAGCAGAGUCACAGCUCAGAGAGAGAGAGUCAGAGGAGAAGUGUUGACUUCUGCUGGGCCUGAGCACCAGGCGCACUGAAGCAGAAACACCUGAGGAAUAAAAAAAAGAUCUCUGCUCAUCUUAAAAAG
Molecule: long non-coding RNA, 302 nt
Filed under: Danio rerio (zebrafish)
Lineage: Eukaryota; Metazoa; Chordata; Actinopteri; Cypriniformes; Danionidae
Description: lncRNA si:ch211-165f21.1 (ENSDARG00000094276.3)
Source: RNAcentral